AAGCACUGUUUGUGCUUGUUCAGGCGAUAAAUUGGAAACAAUACAGAGAAGAUUAGCAUGGCCCCUGCGAAAGGAUGACACGCAAACUUGUGAAGCGUUUCUACAUUUU
Molecule: small nuclear RNA, 109 nt
Filed under: Monopterus albus (swamp eel)
Lineage: Eukaryota; Metazoa; Chordata; Actinopteri; Synbranchiformes; Synbranchidae
Source: RNAcentral